Molecule: transfer-messenger RNA, 359 nt
Filed under: Planctomycetaceae
Lineage: Bacteria; Pseudomonadati; Planctomycetota; Planctomycetia; Planctomycetales
Also listed under: 1 other name
Description: Rubinisphaera sp014584345 Standard tmRNA
Rfam family: transfer-messenger RNA
About the family: Bacterial tmRNA, also known as 10Sa RNA or SsrA, is named for its dual tRNA and mRNA-like properties. Its role is to liberate the mRNA from a stalled ribosome. To accomplish this part of the tmRNA is used as a reading frame that ends in a translation stop signal.
Source: RNAcentral
GGGGGCGAUCGGAUUCGACUGGUUUUCCAUAGGUUGAGGUGGCGUGUCGUGGUUGAUCAGUUGGCCACGUAAAAAGCUGAUCAAAAAAUUAUCUGCCAACAAGCAGUAUGCUUUGGCCGCCUAAUUGAGCGGUCCGGGUCUAGGAAUCCCUGCCUGAGGAGUCCGAACACCCGCUAACAAUUUCGGGCUGGUUUGGGGUCAAUGAGGACUACGCCCCGAACGAGAUAUCGUGGUCCCCUGGCGUUCAAGGGUUUUGUGGAUUGAACCUGAGAACGCGAGAUUUAAUCAAUCUUCUACACACGUAGAGGCCGAAACUGAGGGCUCACAGGACGGGGGUUCGAUUCCCCCCGCCUCCAUCU